CAUGUCCCCAGCAUGCGGAAGUUCCUGGGCCAGGAGUCGAACCCACGACAUAGAAGCAACCUGAGCCACAGCAGUGACACGCCUUAAUGUGCUGAGCUACAUGAGAACUCCAAAGCUUCUCUUUCUUAAAACCCUUGCUGUGUUUCGUCUUGUGGAUUCAAUUAGUGUCUCUUCCUAGAUGGGACUACAAAAUCUUAUUGAUCUUAUGUUGUAAAACAGGACAGAAGUACUUUGCUUUUUUUUUUUUUUUGUCUUUUGUCUUUUUAGAGCCGCACCCAAGGCAUAUGGAGGUUCCCAGGCUAGGGGUCAAAUCACUGCUAUAACUGCCGACAUUCACCACAGCCAGAGAAAUGCCAGAUCCAAGCUAUGUCUGAGACCUAUAUCACAGCUCAUGGCAACGUUGGAUCCUUAACCCACUGAGCAAGGCCAAGGAUUGAACUCAGCAUCCUCAUGGAUAUUAGUCAGGCUCGUUAACCACUGAGCCAUGACGGGAACUCCCAACUAAUUUUAAAGAAAGAACAAAAGGUAAACAUUGAAACAUUAUGUCAUUAUCCAUUUUCCCAAAGAUCUGCAGCCUAAUGUAUGACCCAGGUUGCUGUUUCCCAGAAAGCCAGGUCAAGUCACCAGCCAGCCAUCUCUAAAUGGGCUCUGAGAAGACAAGUACUUAUCAAGGGACAUAAAAGCAGCCACUCCACCUGAAAGGCACCACAUAUUCCAGGAUGCACUUACCCUUCCAGGAUGUCCAUUCUUUUUUUUACUGCUGCAUCUGCAGUACAUGGAAGUUCCCAGACUAGGGGUCAAAUUGGAGUUGCAGCUGAGGCCAUAGCCAUAGCAACAGCAGAUCUGAACCACACCUGAGACCUAUGUCACAGCUUGUGGCCUCAAGCCAGACCCUUGACCCACUGAGCAGGGCCAUGGAUUGAACCUGCAUCCUCACAGAUACUAUGUCAGGCUCCUAACCUCUGAGCCACAACGGGAACUCCCAGGAUGUCCAUUCUUAGUCAAGACUAGGUUCCAUUUUGACAUUAAGUAUAAUGAAAGCUCAUGCCGCAUUAAUUCUGCUCUAACAAUUUAUCUUUUUAGGAGUUCCCAUCGUGGCUCAGUGGUUAAUGAAUCCGACUAGGAACCAUGAGAUUUUGGGUUUGAUCCCUGGCCUUGCUCAGUGGGUUAAGGAUCCAGUGAUGCCAUGAGCUAUGGUGUAGGUUGCAGACGCAGCUUGGGUCCCGAGUUGCUGUGACUCUGGCAUAGGCUGGCAGCUACAGCUCCUAUUGGACUCCUAGUCUGGGAGCCUCCAUAUGCCGCAGAAGCGGCCCUAGAAAAGGCAAAAAGACAAAAAAAAAUUUAUCUUUUUAAAAAGUUUUGACUUAUGAGACAUAGUUAUGAGGAAAGAAACUAUUCAAAAAGUUGAUGUCCUUUCGUGGGAAGUGAUGUUUACUGCAAAAGGUAAAGCUGAGUGGAUGGGAAAGGUAGGCAAACAUGCACUGCUGUGGAAUCAAGUCCAGACACCUUUGCAUGGACGAAAGGAUGGACUCUGAAUUUUGACUGCCUGAGUGCCCAUUCAGUUCCACCCCUUCUUGGCUGGGUGACCUUAGGCAAGUUACUCAAACUCAAUAAGCCCAGCUCUUUCAACUGUGCAAUAGAAUAACAACGGAUCUCCUCAAUCAGGGAGGACUCAAUAGGGUAAUCCUCAUAAAGCCCCAAGCACCCAGAGCAGUCCACCAGCAGCAGCAACAGCUCCUAGCACUGGUACCUCUCCUGCAUUUCCCCUAAUACUCCUGCCAGGGAAAACUGCUAUUUCGAUGGUGCCUCCUUAAAGCAUCACAUAGCUUCAGAUCCUGGCACACCAGUUCACUUAGAGAAGGCUACUCUAUCAGUUAGAGUCUCAACAGGAAUAGAUGACACACAAGUUGAAUAAUUUGAGAAGAGUCUAAUAUAGGAACUAUUUACAUGGGUGUGGGCCGUGGAGAAGGGAAGCACAACUUGGCAGGACAGAACCCCAGGGCAAGUAACAUCAGAGCUCACAUCACCCCGACCCAAGACUCAUUCUUGGACCCAGAAGCAAAGCUGGGUGGAGAGGGUUGCCUGGCAGGAGCCAUGACCUUCAGAAGAGGCAUGUUGCUACCUCAGAGAAACCCAACAGGGAGAAGAGUCAAUUCCUGACUGCCUUUUCCUCCAUCUACAGUAUUGAAGUGCUCCCAGCUGUCCAAACCCAACUGAUCAGGAGGGAAGAUGAGCCAGUUGAUACCGUCCAUAGAGGUCACCCUGAAGGAAAGAGGGUAGGGAAGUGGGGGAGGGGGUCUUGGGAGCAAAUGGAAGAUACUGUGCACUUUCUUCAUCCAUCCCCCUAGACUUGGGCUACUUCCAAUUGUCCAGGUUAAUCAGUUCAGUCCCCUCUCUGUGCUGCCUCAGCAAAUCCCACCGGUUACAACUCAGCACAGGGUCUUGCAUUAGACGCUGGGACAGCUGACUGCUUCUUACCUGUGAGUGCCUGGAGGAGAAGGGUUCUGACCUCGUACUUAAUAGCAUUUCUUAAUUCCAUGGAAGUAUCGUGGGGUCUAUCAGAACACAGAGCUUCUCCUACAUGGGUACAAACGUCAUUGAGAUUCCAGAACUAAGUCCUUCAAAUACCACAGGCAAGUACAUAAAACCACUGAAAGCUUAGGAUAAAGUUAAGUUAUGGUGGAUGAAUUUCCAAAUGGAAUUACAGCCAAAGAAUUGUCUGAAAAGAUGGAUAGCCUUACUUCUAAAUAAGUGUGUGUUAGUUUACCAAAUCCAGUACUGUCGGUUUAUUGUGAAAAGGGAGAUUAGGGUAAAACUGGUUUCUCUUUACCUUUGUGGGAUUUCUCAGAAUUAAAUGCUCAUUUCAGUGUAAAACUUUCAAGAGAAGAUAGGGUGCCUAUUCCUCAUGUUUACAAGCAGCACCUCAUGGGGCUAAUGUUUUGUGUAGCACAUGCUGGAAAACACUGGUUAAGACAAGGCAAGAAAUGUAGUCUUUAUAUCGCUAUGGCAGGGCUGUACUUCAAAGGAUUUUAUUCCCACUGAAUACUUUUUUUUCCUUUCUUUUUAGGGCUUCAUUUGCAGCAUA
Molecule: long non-coding RNA, 3085 nt
Filed under: Sus scrofa (pig)
Lineage: Eukaryota; Metazoa; Chordata; Mammalia; Artiodactyla; Suidae
Description: lncRNA (ENSSSCG00015078618.1)
Source: RNAcentral